This 289-nucleotide ribosomal RNA is filed under the name uncultured Desulfobulbus sp. RNAcentral's name for it is "partial 16S ribosomal RNA". It matches the Rfam family "Bacterial small subunit ribosomal RNA", at positions 1097 to 1382 of the family's 1533-position model. Lineage: Bacteria; Pseudomonadati; Thermodesulfobacteriota; Desulfobulbia; Desulfobulbales; Desulfobulbaceae. The record is from RNAcentral.
CGCAACCCUUGCCUUAGUUGCCAGCAGUUCGGCUGGGCACUCUAAAGGGACUGCCGGUGUUAAACCGGAGGAAGGUGGGGGAUGACGUCAAGUCCUCAUGGCCUUUACUGACCAGGGCUACACACGUACUACAAUGGCCGAUACAAAGGGCAGCGACGACUGCGGAGGUGAAGCCAAUCCCGUAAAAAUCGGUCUCAGUCCGGAUUGGAGUCUGCAACUCGACUCCAUGAAGUUGGAAUCGCUAGUAAUCGUGGAUCAGCAUGCCACGGUGAAUACGUUCCCGGGCCUU